RNAcentral lists this ribosomal RNA (450 nucleotides) under uncultured bacterium. RNAcentral's name for it is "partial 16S ribosomal RNA". It matches the Rfam family "Bacterial small subunit ribosomal RNA", at positions 354 to 796 of the family's 1533-position model. The record is from RNAcentral.
GUGGGGAAUUUUGGACAAUGGGCGCAAGCCUGAUCCAGCAAUGCCGCGUGCAGGAAGAAGGCCUUCGGGUUGUAAACUGCUUUUGUACGGAACGAAACGGUCCGGGUUAAUACCCUGGGCUAAUGACGGUACCGUAAGAAUAAGCACCGGCUAACUACGUGCCAGCAGCCGCGGUAAUACGUAGGGUGCAAGCGUUAAUCGGAAUUACUGGGCGUAAAGCGUGCGCAGUCGGUUUUGUAAGACAGGCGUGAAAUCCCCGGGCUCAACCUGGGAAUUGCGCUUGUGACUGCAAGGCUGGAGUGCGGCAGAGGGGGAUGGAAUUCCGCGUGUAGCAGUGAAAUGCGUAGAUAUGCGGAGGAACACCGAUGGCGAAGGCAAUCCCCUGGGCCUGCACUGACGCUCAUGCACGAAAGCGUGGGGAGCAAACAGGAUUAGAAACCCCGGUAGUCC